CCGUCGCACAGGUUGACAUUUUUACCUAAAAGCUUGCGGUUUUGUACAUGAAAAAAAUUUGUGUUUCCGGUAGGUGUUCGAAAUAGGAUCAGGUGGGCUGUAAUAAUUUUUCGGAUUUUUCGUAGUCAUUUUUGAUUCAACAAGAAAAUUGUAUAUUUUUGUAAUCACGCCGUCCCCAUUCGAAUAGAUUUUGAGAUUGAAAAAUGUGUUUUUGUAAAAAAUUAAUCAACGUAUUUCUUCGACGUCGUCAAGCCUAGAUGUUUGAAACUUGUAGAAUUUUUGCGUCAGAGUACAUACACCGAAAUAUCAAAAUUGCAGAGAAAUUGAAAUUUUUUAGCCCCGAAUCGUGGGUCGAAAAUUAGUGGACUUGCCCACAUAAAUUGAAUGCGGAGAAUUUUUGGCUCGAUAAUGAGACAAUAGUCCAUUGAAGGUUGAAAUUGGAUUCUAACGUUCACGGACGAUGCGUUGUCAAUCGAUUCCAAACGCCGCCGUUGAAACAAGAGUCAUUGUUCAAGUUUUCUAGAGCUGUGUGAUAACGUUUCUGUUACAGUAUAGCAGUGAUCGCGCGGAUCGAAACCUUGACACAUGUUAAAAGUUGCGGAUUGAAUUGGGUUUAAGUUCUUUCAAGGAUGAAAUCGGUGACGAAUUUUUUCAGAAUUCAAAAUGACGUGGCGAGAAGAAGAAUAAAACUUCAUCUUCAAAUAUAAAAUAAUAAACCGGAAAACUAAAGACGUCAACAAUAGUUUGACACGUCGUUUCUUUUGAGCCAUUCGACUCCAAGUCCUAUUGUCAGUUUCAGAAUAGCACCUUUCAAUCGGCCAUUGAUAAUAGUUCAAUUUCUCUUUGACACACGGCACGACGGAUCAAAGAUUCAAGACAAAGAAUAUCAAGAGACUUGCAUCUCGAUCAACUGGAAUGUUCGAUUUAGAGAAUUAUCAAACACUAGCGGCUGCUCACCCCCCCCCCCCCCCCCCCGCAGUUACAACAAAAAUUCCAAAAUAUGCACGAAGCUUGUAUCGUUUCAAAAUUAUUAAUUUAUGAAAGUGCUGAUUAAGGAUGCAGAAUUUGCAAUAUAAACAGAUUUGACAUCGUCUUCAUUCAAGGUGCUCAACGCUCUUCAACAUUCCGAUGUGGUGACGAAUAGUCUGCAAUUUAUCGACUAGUUUUUUUUUACAACAUGUUGAUAGGUAACAUAAUUACCUGAAUCGCCAACGUAUUAUGCCGAACGUAAUUAAAUAAAAAUCUGUUCAAACUAUACUUUUUAUGUACAGUAAUGUUCGUUAAUGCAUUCCCCUUACGGCUACCUUGUUUUCGGUCCGAAACAAAAUGCGAAUUCGGUUCUACAAAAAUUAUGUGACAAUGACUUCCAUUCUCUCACGUCAACCUCAUCGCCAGUCAUUGUCACAUAAUUCGUAUAGAAUUGAACUCGCAUUUUAUUUCUGACCGAAAACAAGGUAGCCGGAAAAAAAGACAUUAAUAAAUACUACGGAGCAUACGGUAAUAUUCAUUAAUGACUUCCUCUUUAGAUUACUAUACAUACGGUGAAAUGCAUAAAUAUCUUAACUUUCCGGCUAACUUGUCUUCGAUCCGAAACAAAACGCGACUUGGAUUCUAUACAGGUUAUGUGGCAAUGCAUUCAUUUUCUCUCGUCAGCUGGAUCGCCAAUCAUUUUCACAUAAUUCGU
Long non-coding RNA from Neodiprion virginianus, 1684 nucleotides. RefSeq lists it as uncharacterized. The record is from RefSeq and is a predicted model, not a curated record. The transcript has 4 exons. Lineage: Eukaryota; Metazoa; Arthropoda; Insecta; Hymenoptera; Diprionidae.